CGGGAUAAGUGCUGAAAGCAUCUAAGCAUGAAGCCCCCCUCAAGAUGAGAUUUCCCCAUUAGAUCCCUCAGAGACGAUGAGGUGGAUAGGUUCGGCGUGUAAGUGUGGCGACACAUGCAGCGGACGAAUACUAAUCGAUCGAUGACUUAUUCAA
This is a ribosomal RNA of 154 nucleotides. It matches the Rfam family "Bacterial large subunit ribosomal RNA", at positions 2759 to 2925 of the family's 2925-position model. The record is from Rfam.